AGAGCCAGAGGAGACGAGGAUGAGGAGAGGGAAACGGGGACCCCCUCCCCCGGCCGAACCCCGACCGCAGGCCCGCCCCGCUUUCUCCCGCUCCUCCUCUCCCGGGACUCGCCGCUCGCAGCUGUGCUCGGCCUUCCACGCCACCCGGCCCGGACUCCACCCGCACCCCCGCCCGCCAGGCCUCUUUGGCUCUAACUUGUUCUAGUUUCUUAGGACUCAAACGCUUCGGGUUCGAGAAUCACACCCAAAGGAAAGGUACCAGCAAGGGUUACUCUGUUGCUGCCCUGAGAUCUUGGUAUGAGACAGCCAAACCGAGUCAGAUGACUGUUCUGUUAAAAUAAGGGUUUCAAGACUGUAGAUUCAUGAGAUGGGGAUUCAGUGAAGGAAAACAUUCCCAUCUCUGUUACAGGAAAGUUAUAAUGGCGUUGAACUAUUUGGAAGAAAAGAGAAAAGAAGACAAAGAAGCAAUCUUGCUUAAUCACAACAAAUGUUCUAUUAAACACUAUGUAAAAACAAACUAUAAUAGCAAUAAUAUUAGUCAAUUUGGGAGCUUUUUAACAAAUGAACAUUCUUUUUUAAGACUGUAAGUUCUAUGUAAAAUAAUAUAAUGCAGAACAGAGACUAGAAUAUUUCAUAAAACAGAAGGACUUUCAGGACUUUUUUUUUUUUUCCAAAAGGAAGAUAUGCCAGGAAAAUCUUUAUACAAUUAAAUAGUCUAUGUUCGUCAUGUCUAAAGGCAUGGAAAAGACCCAAAAGCUAUUUUUUUUUAUUACUUGGAGUCAGAGUAUUUGGUACCGUACACGUUUAGUGAAUAUACUUGCAUGGAACAUAACUCAUCUUUGAGAAUAUCAUCAUAGUGGUAUGGACUUGCCUGACAUUUAGAGAGUCAUAUACUUUUCUGUCCAAGGAAUAGUCUUAAAUAUCAAAAUUACCAAAUGAGUACAAAACAAUGUCUGCCUGACUGGGUUUUUUGUUCCCUCAAAGAAUAGACAAUUGUGUCAGUUGGACUUUUUUAUGAUUAAUGGGGUAAUGAUGGUCCUGUUUAAUACCUUUUCCUGAGAUAAUCUGGGUAGAAGCUCAUGACCCUGCAAAUUCUAAAUUUAAUUUUCAGUUUGGGUUACCCAGAAUUCACUAGAGUAAGCUUUUGUGAUACGAAAAGAAGAGAUACAAGUUCUUUUCUCUGAAGAGUUCUCAUAUAAUCAUGCUUUUAAAAAAAGAAUUUAUUGCCACAGAAGUUAGAAGUAGAA
Molecule: long non-coding RNA, 1247 nt
Filed under: Homo sapiens (human)
Lineage: Eukaryota; Metazoa; Chordata; Mammalia; Primates; Hominidae
Description: non-protein coding lnc-TSPYL1-3:1
Source: RNAcentral